CGCAUCGUGCUCGGCGUCAUUCUGUUUGCCGCGAUGAUAGGAAGUUUCGUCUUCGCAUGCGGCGCGGGCGCGCAGGAAAAGAUCGUCGAACGCACCCGGCCGCCGAUGAUCGAGGAUGAAGAGGAUUUCGAGGAGGACGAUCGCCGGUCGGUCUCGCUCGGCUGGAUCGUUCAUACCGCCAUGAGCGCAAAAACACGCGUGGUUCGGGCGCUUUCUGCUUUCUUCGCGAUGCUGGUCGGACGCACGGAAUCGCGCCGCUCA
RNAcentral lists this unclassified non-coding RNA (261 nucleotides) under Hevea brasiliensis (rubber tree). The record is from RNAcentral. Lineage: Eukaryota; Viridiplantae; Streptophyta; Magnoliopsida; Malpighiales; Euphorbiaceae.